RNAcentral lists this long non-coding RNA (223 nucleotides) under Mytilus galloprovincialis (Mediterranean mussel). The record is from RNAcentral. Lineage: Eukaryota; Metazoa; Mollusca; Bivalvia; Mytilida; Mytilidae.
GGGCCGUAACUAGCCUCUUCUAAUAGUGAGGCAAAAUAUAUUCGCCGAGCGGAACGAGUCGAAAAAAUUUUGACGAGGGGUUUUGGGGCCGCUCAAGGCCCCCAGAAGCUCUGAGAAAAAUUACGAAAAAUCGUGCAUUCUGAAAGUUUCCCGGACUCUUUCUGACAUUAAAACGAAAUUAAUUGUUUGCUAUUUUCCGACAAUAAUCUGGUCUCAAAGCAAC